Molecule: ribosomal RNA, 562 nt
Filed under: Leotiomycetes sp. OTU15 TS-2013
Lineage: Eukaryota; Fungi; Ascomycota; Leotiomycetes
Description: eukaryotic LSU rRNA
Rfam family: Eukaryotic large subunit ribosomal RNA
Source: RNAcentral
AAACCAACAGGGAUUGCCCUAGUAACGGCGAGUGAAGCGGCAACAGCUCAAAUUUGAAAUCUGGCUUCGGCCCGAGUUGUAAUUUGCAGAGGAUGCUUCUGGCGCGGUGCCUUCCGAGUUCCCUGGAACGGGACGCCACAGAGGGUGAGAGCCCCGUAUGGUCGGACACCAAGCCUGUGUGAAGCUCCUUCGACGAGUCGAGUAGUUUGGGAAUGCUGCUCUAAAUGGGAGGUAAAUCUCUUCUAAAGCUAAAUACCGGCCAGAGACCGAUAGCGCACAAGUAGAGUGAUCGAAAGAUGAAAAGCACCUUGAAAAGGGGGUUAAAUAGUACGUGAAAUUGUUGAAAGGGAAGCACUUAUGACCAGACUUGGGCCGGGCGGCUCAUCAGGGGUUCUCCCCUGUGCACUCCGCCCGGCACAGGCCAGCAUCGGUUCUCGUGGGGGGAUAAGACCGUCAGGAACGUAGCACCCUCCGGGGUGUGUUAUAGCCUGGCGGACGAUACCCCCGUGGGGACCGAGGUNCCGCGCUCCGCAAGGAUGCUGGCGUAAUGGUCAUCAGUGAC